GUGCUUAGUUCAGCAACACAUACACUAAAGUUGGAAUGACACAAAGAAGGCAACAUGGCCCCUGCACAAGGGUGGCACACAAGUUCAUGAAGCGUUCCAUAUUUAA
This 106-nucleotide small nuclear RNA is filed under the name Chinchilla lanigera (long-tailed chinchilla). Lineage: Eukaryota; Metazoa; Chordata; Mammalia; Rodentia; Chinchillidae. The record is from RNAcentral.